RNAcentral lists this ribosomal RNA (468 nucleotides) under uncultured bacterium. RNAcentral describes it as "partial 16S ribosomal RNA". It matches the Rfam family "Bacterial small subunit ribosomal RNA", at positions 28 to 507 of the family's 1533-position model. The record is from RNAcentral.
GACGAACGCUGGCGGCGCGCUUAACACAUGCAAGUCGAACGGAAAGGCCCUGCUUUUGUGGGGUGCUCGAGUGGCGAACGGGUGAGUAACACGUGAGUAACCUGCCCUUGACUUUGGGAUAACUUCAGGAAACUGGGGCUAAUACCGGAUAGGAGCUCCUGCUGCAUGGUGGGGGUUGGAAAGUUUCGGUGGUUGGGGAUGGACUCGCGGCUUAUCAGCUUGUUGGUGGGGUAGUGGCUUACCAAGGCUUUGACGGGUAGCCGGCCUGAGAGGGUGACCGGCCACAUUGGGACUGAGAUACGGCCCAGACUCCUACGGGAGGCAGCAGUGGGGAAUAUUGCACAAUGGGCGGAAGCCUGAUGCAGCAACGCCGCGUGCGGGAUGACGGCCUUCGGGUUGUAAACCGCUUUCGCCUGUGACGAAGCGUGAGUGACGGUAAUGGGUAAAGAAGCACCGGCUAACUACGUG